GGGCCCGUUGCCUAGCCUGGACCCUCUUGGGAAUCAUCCUUUGGGACGCAAAUAGGGCGCUAGCCUUCUAAGUUAGAGAUCGCCGGUUCAAAUCCGGCCGGGCCCGCCA
Molecule: transfer RNA, 109 nt
Filed under: Candidatus Thorarchaeota archaeon
Lineage: Archaea; Promethearchaeati; Candidatus Thorarchaeota
Description: tRNA-Arg
Rfam family: tRNA
About the family: Transfer RNA (tRNA) molecules are approximately 80 nucleotides in length. Their secondary structure includes four short double-helical elements and three loops (D, anti-codon, and T loops). Further hydrogen bonds mediate the characteristic L-shaped molecular structure. tRNAs have two regions of fundamental functional importance: the anti-codon, which is responsible for specific mRNA codon recognition, and the 3' end, to which the tRNAs corresponding amino acid is attached (by aminoacyl-tRNA synthetases). tRNAs cope with the degeneracy of the genetic code in two manners: having more than one tRNA (with a specific anti-codon) for a particular amino acid; and 'wobble' base-pairing, i.e. permitting non-standard base-pairing at the 3rd anti-codon position.
Source: RNAcentral